RNAcentral lists this non-coding RNA (85 nucleotides) under Stenotrophomonas indicatrix. The record is from RNAcentral. Lineage: Bacteria; Pseudomonadati; Pseudomonadota; Gammaproteobacteria; Lysobacterales; Lysobacteraceae.
CCUUACGGCGGGCGGUGCGUGGGGGCCAUGUGCCCGCCGGUUCAUCGACUCCGGUAUUGGAAACCACGCAUCGCCCGCCACCCUC